UUGGAGGGCAAGUCUGGUGCCAGCAGCCGCGGUAAUUCCAGCUCCAAUAGCGUAUAUUAAAGUUGUUGCAGUUAAAAAGCUCGUAGUUGAAUUUCGGGAUCGACGGGUCGGUCGCGCCUCUGGUGUGUACUGGCCCUGUCGGUUUCUCCCUUCUGACGAACCACGAUGUCAUUAAUUUGGUGUCGUGGGGAAUCAGGACUGUUACUUUGAAAAAAUUAGAGUGUUUAAAGCAGGCUCACGCUUGAAUACAUUAGCAUGGAAUAAUGAAAUAGGACGUUUGAUUCUAUUUUGUUGGUUUCUAAGAUCGACGUAAUGAUUAAUAGGGAUAGUUGGGGGCAUUAGUAUUCAAUUGUCAGAGGUGAAAUUCUUGGAUUUAUUGAAGACUAACUACUGCGAAAGCAUUUGCCAAGGAUGUUUUCAUUAAUCAAGAACGAAAGUUAGGGAUCGAAGACGAUCAGAUACCGUCGUAGUCUUACCAUAAACUAUGCCGACUAGGGAUCGGAUGAUGUUA
Molecule: ribosomal RNA, 511 nt
Filed under: uncultured fungus
Lineage: Eukaryota; Fungi
Description: SSU rRNA
Rfam family: Eukaryotic small subunit ribosomal RNA
Source: RNAcentral